Long non-coding RNA from Cyprinus carpio (common carp), 1502 nucleotides. The record is from Ensembl. NCBI's taxonomy places the organism in Eukaryota, Metazoa, Chordata, Actinopteri, Cypriniformes, Cyprinidae.
CUUCCCUUCUUUAUCUAUGCCGGCCAAUAUAAAUGUGUGCUGGUAUCCAUGGAGAGCUCGUCAUUGUCAUUGGUCACUGGUCAUUAUUUUGUCAAGAGCCCUAGUUACCCUUAGUAACCAUCUGGGUGACAGAGGAGUCUGACUAACAAACUAAAGGGAAGACAUUGUGUGCAUCUCAUUCACUGGAAGAUGAAUCCUGUUUCUAAGUUUGAAAUCUGUCACUUUUCAAGCUGAACUGACUUUAAAGCAUGCGUCGUGGAGACUGGUUGCCAUGGCCCGGCGAGGCUCAGAGACGAGAUGAGAGGAGGGCCGAAGCCAGACUGGCUGAGGGUCUGCAGAGACUCGACCAGGCUAAACAUUACCACCUCAACACACUGACCAGAGAACAGCGCAGACUUCACAGAGACCUCAUCUCUAUCAAAACAGGUAAUCCCUGGAAAAGAGGACUCCACAGUUUGGGGCUACGACCCUCUAACCAUGAUGUUGGUGGUCGCCCUGCUGCAUCUCACAAGAGGACCCUGUUACCCAUCAUCCCAAUGGCAGGAAAGGAAACAGACAGUCACAGGUCCUCUUCACUGCAGGCUCGUGUUCAGGAGUUUAUGAACAGUUGGGAGAAAAGGGCAGAACACUCCUCUGAGACGCUCUGUCUGCCAGACCUAAAACGACAGCCUGUCACCUCUCUCACCGCUACGAGCACAAACAGAGAAAGAGAGGUGAGCAAGGAGAGAGAUAUGGAUGGAGAACAGGACAGAGACAGAGGGGCCCACAUGGACAUAGUGAGGGACAGAGAAAAAGACAGCCAGAAAGACAGGGAAUGGAUGCUGUUAAAGGAACGAGAGAAAGCUAAUGAAAGAGGAGCUGAGAUACAUGGGAAUAGGUGUCCAUCCUCUCCUGUCUCAUUCCCCUCUGAAAUGCUGGCUCCGGAUGGACAUUUAAGAACAGUUCACACGUUACCAAACUUUGCCCAGGCACUGGCCGAGGCCCGAAAAGCAAGAUACAUCAGACACCGAGGACAACUGCUGUGUGAGCGAGAACUCACCAUACGAGAGAAAUUUGCCCGGGAUUCAAGAGCUCCUGCUCAUUGAGACACUAAAACAGUGGUUCUUGACUGGUUGUAAUUACCAUGUUGUAAUUACCGUAAUUACUUGAUGACAGCCUGUCCUGGAUGUUCUACUAGAAGCUGUUCACAUCCUCUGAGUUCACCAAAAAAUGCAAAUUCUGUCAUUAAUUACUCACCCUCAUGUCGUUCCAAAUCUGUAAGACCUUCUUUCAUCUUCCGACCAGAAAUUAAGAUAUUUUGGAUGAAAUCCGAGAGCUUUCUGACCCUGCAUAUACACCAACACAACUACCAUGUUCAAGGCCCAGAAAAGUAGUAAAAACAUUGUUAAAAUAGUCCAUGUGACAUUAGUGGUUCAAUCGCUAUUUUAUGAAGCUAGAGAAUACUUUUUGUGUGUAAAGAAAACAAGAAUAAAGACUAUAUUUAACAAUUUCUUCUUCUGUGU